This 509-nucleotide ribosomal RNA is filed under the name uncultured eukaryote. Its description in RNAcentral is "bacterial SSU rRNA". It matches the Rfam family "Eukaryotic small subunit ribosomal RNA", at positions 1242 to 1673 of the family's 1831-position model. The record is from RNAcentral.
GACAGAUUGAGAGCUCUUUCUUGAUUCUGUGGGUGGUGGUGCAUGGUCCGUUUUUAGUUGGUGGAGUAAUUUGUCUGGUUAAUUCCGUUAACGAACGAGACCUUAACCUAUUAAAUAGUCGUGGGAACCCAGGUCUUUCAUCCUCUUUCUCAGCAAUGGGGGGGAGGAAACCAUUAUCAUAUUGGUACCCUCUGGGUAUCAUGUGGUAGUGGUGAGGAUCUGAUAGUGUUCUUAUAGGCUUCUUAGAGGGACUCUUUGCAUCUUUAGCAAAUGGAAGUUUGAGGCAAAAACAGGUCUGUGAUGCCCUUCGAUGUUCUGGGCUGCACGCGCGUUACAAUGACGCAUGCAACGAGUUAUUAAAUUCCUGGCCCGAUGGGGUUGGGUAAUCUUUUAAAGUGCGUCGUGAUGGGGAUAGAGCAUUGCAAUUAUUGUUCUUGAACGAGGAAUUCCUAGUAAUUGCAGGUCAUCAACCUGCGAUGAUUACGUCCCUGCCCUUUGUACACACCGCC